UCAUUACCGAAUUGUCAACAAGAGUUGUUGCUGGUCCUCAAAUGGGGGCAUGUGCACACUCUGUUCACACAUCCACUCACACCCUGUGCACCCUCUGUAGUUCUAUGGUUGGGGGACCUGUCCUCCUGCUGUGGUUCUGCAUCUUUACACACACAUUGUAACAAAGUCUAAUGGAAUGCAUGUCGCGUUUAACGCAAUACAAUACAACUUUCAGCAACGGAUCUCUUGGCUCUCGCAUCGAUGAAGAACGCAGCGAAAUGCGAUAAGUAAUGUGAAUUGCAGAAUUCAGUGAAUCAUCGAAUCUUUGAACGCACCUUGCGCCCUUUGGCCAUUCCGAAGGGCAUGCCUGUUUGAGUAUCAUGAACACCUCAACUCUUCAUGGUUUUCUGUGAUGAGUUUGGACUUUGGGGGUUUUGCUGGCCUAUGGUCAGCUCCUCUAAAAUAAAUCAGCUUGCCAGUGUUUGGUGGGUAUCAUAGGUGUGAUAACUAUCUACGCUUGUGGUUCUUCCACCAGGUAACCUUCAGCAGUGGAGGUUCACUGGAGCUCACAGAUGUCUCUCCUCAGUGAGGACAGCCCUUUGAAUGUUUGAUCUC
This 594-nucleotide unclassified non-coding RNA is filed under the name uncultured Tomentella. RNAcentral describes it as "sequence contains ITS1, 5.8S rRNA gene and ITS2". The stretch from base 206 to 360 matches the Rfam family "5.8S ribosomal RNA". The record is from RNAcentral. Lineage: Eukaryota; Fungi; Basidiomycota; Agaricomycetes; Thelephorales; Thelephoraceae.